GGAUGUAGCUCAGUGGUAGAGGGGUCUGUUUUUCGUGCAGAAGGUCCCAUGUUCAAUCCCUGGCAUCUGCA
Podarcis lilfordi (Lilford's wall lizard) is the source of this 71-nucleotide non-coding RNA. Lineage: Eukaryota; Metazoa; Chordata; Lepidosauria; Squamata; Lacertidae. The record is from the annotation of a GenBank genome assembly.